Molecule: ribosomal RNA, 492 nt
Filed under: uncultured bacterium
Lineage: Bacteria
Description: partial 16S ribosomal RNA
Rfam family: Bacterial small subunit ribosomal RNA
Source: RNAcentral
CGAACGCUGGCGGCGUGCUUAACACAUUCACGUCGAACGGUGAAGCGCCUUCCUUUUUGGUGGGUGUGGAUGAGUGGCGAACGGGUGAGUAACACGUGAGUAACCUGCCCCCUUCUUCUGGAUAACCGCAUGAAAGUGUGGCUAAUACGGGAUAUUCUGGGUCUGUCGCAUGAUGGGUCUGGGAAAGAUAUUGUUUCGGUGGGGGAUGGGCUCGCGGCCUAUCAGCUUGUUGGUGGGGUGAUGGCCUACCAAGGCGGUGACGGGUAGCCGGCCUGAGAGGGUGGACGGUCACACUGGGACUGAGACACGGCCCAGACUCCUACGGGAGGCAGCAGUGGGGAAUAUUGCACAAUGGGCGCAAGCCUGAUGCAGCGACGCCGCGUGAGGGAUGGAGGCCUUCGGGUUGUGAACCUCUUUCGCCAGUGAAGCAGGCCUGCCUCGUUUGUGGGUGGGUUGACGGUAGCUGGAGAAGAAGCGCCGGCUAACUACGUG